This 544-nucleotide long non-coding RNA is filed under the name Chloebia gouldiae (Gouldian finch). Its description in RNAcentral is "Erythrura gouldiae (Gouldian finch) lncRNA (ENSEGOG00005012709.1)". The record is from RNAcentral. Lineage: Eukaryota; Metazoa; Chordata; Aves; Passeriformes; Passeridae.
CCUGGAGAAGAUUGGAGGAAUUCCUGGAGGAAUGUUGCAUCCCUGAAGGAGGAGAAUCUAAGAUGCAGAACCGAGGAAGAUAAAGAUGGAGCUGUGUAUGCAGAAGAGAUUAAGACUACGUGGAACCAGUGCCUGACAAUUCACAGAGCAUUUCCUGGGCUUCUGAAUGUUGGAGCUCAAACGCUGCACAAACAUUAGAGACUCGUGCUGUCUGAGGUGGCAGUGAAAUAGGAGGAUUCUGUACUUCACCUUUUUGCAGAGACCAAAGCUCUAACACCUGAAAAGAUGAAACCUGCCAGCUCCCAGCUGAUGUUACAGCCUGAGUGGAAAGGCCUGUGUUGGCCUUCACUAUCUUAAAAUUUGCCCUUAUCUCUGCUCUUCCAGAGUUGGUGUUUCAGAAAUUACUCCACCAAGUUGUUGCAUUUUUGUGGGGCUUGUGUAGCUGACCUACCUAUAGUGCUUUGAAAAGUCCAGUCCUUAGGAAUCCAGUGUUGCUUUAUGGCGCAAAACCAUCAUCAAUAAAAGUUUAUAGAUUUAAAUAAAG